RNAcentral lists this ribosomal RNA (528 nucleotides) under uncultured bacterium. RNAcentral describes it as "bacterial SSU rRNA". It matches the Rfam family "Bacterial small subunit ribosomal RNA", at positions 355 to 899 of the family's 1533-position model. The record is from RNAcentral.
UGGGGAAUCUUGGACAAUGGGGGCAACCCUGAUCCAGCCAUGCCGCGUGAGUGAUGAAGGCCUUAGGGUCGUAAAGCUCUUUCGCCUGUGAAGAUAAUGACGGUAGCAGGUAAAGAAACCCCGGCUAACUCCGUGCCAGCAGCCGCGGUAAUACGGAGGGUGCGAGCGUUAAUCGGAAUUACUGGGCGUAAAGCGCACGUAGGCGGACCAGAAAGUUGGGGGUGAAAUCCCGGGGGCUCAACCCCGGAACUGCCUCCAAAACUAUUGGUCUAGAGUUCGAGAGAGGUGAGUGGAAUUCCAAGUGUAGAGGUGAAAUUCGUAGAUAUUUGGAGGAACACCAGUGGCGAAGGCGGCUCACUGGCUCGAUACUGACGCUGAGGUGCGAAAGUGUGGGGAGCAAACAGGAUUAGAUACCCUGGUAGUCCACACCGUAAAACGAUGAAUGCCAGUCGUCGGGUAGCAUGCUAUUCGGUGACACACCUAACGGAUUAAGCAUUCCGCCUGGGGAGUACGGUCGCAAGAUUAAAA